This is a long non-coding RNA of Folsomia candida, 1168 nucleotides long. RefSeq lists it as uncharacterized. The record is from RefSeq and is a predicted model, not a curated record. The transcript has 2 exons. Lineage: Eukaryota; Metazoa; Arthropoda; Collembola; Entomobryomorpha; Isotomidae.
AUAUUUUUUCGAAAGAGUUCGUCUUUCAAACUAAGGUAGCCAAAAAAUAAACUUGGCUAAACAUGGUUUGCGUCCCAAUUGUAAGUAUCUGUGAUAUAAGACAAUGUAAGACACGUUAUCAAAGAACACUGCCUGCUUCUUACUAGGGGGCGUUCAUAAAUUGUGUGACCUUACUUAAAGCAUUAUGGUUUUCUUGAUAACGUACACCGUAAAAAAUAUUGGAAAAAUAAGAAUGCAUGCGCAUACAAGUCUCGCGGAAAAAUUGUAAUCGGCUGGCGACAAAUUGUAACCACGCGGUAUCAAACACCUUGGACCAGUCUUAUUUGUUUUUGUACUGAAGAAAAUGCGGGCUAUAAACUAGGUUAACGGUACCCUUAAUUAUGUCGGCGUGGCCCCAUAUAUAUAACUAUGUGCACCCCGCGAGGUUUAAAAUUUACUAAUAAAUUAACUAUAUAGGUAUAUAUAUACUUUUUACUGAACAGAAUGGAGGCUAUAAACUGGAUAAGCCGUGGACAAGCCUUCGUGAGCUACAUAAUUUAUGGAUGGCCCAUUAAAUAAACUAUCAAUCAUGAAAGUUUGUUAGCUUCAAUUACGACAGAAUAUCCUUUAAAUAGUUAACUUUGGUCCCAAAUUCACUCAGAGUUCAGCAGACAACUUACACACUCUUGGGUUGCAAAUAAUUUUAAUUCAGAAACAUAAAAAGUGUGGUAUAUUUUUCGGAUUUUAGAAGAUUCAAAAUGGCAAUCAUGCAUCGAUUUAUUCGUCUCCUUGUCGUUCUUACUUUAACCGGGUCUUUUUUUCCUGGACGGGUAGACGCUAUCCUCGGUUGCGCUUGUUUGGCGACUAGCUGUCUCGGCUGGAAUGAUCGCGUAACGUGUGGCACAAAUCAACCUUUUCUGGGAUUGCCAAUUUUUAAUGGAGGCACUUGCAAGUGGGUUAGUGACGAAUGCAAGUUCAAAUGCCAGGGUGGCUUAGGCCAGAUUUGUAUCUCCAUCUGAAAAGAAGUCAUGGAAAAUUACACAUGCGGCAUAAUUUAUGCCAAUUUAUUGUAAAAAUGAACCGAUUCAAUAAAAUGUUAAACUUAUUUACAUAAUGUAAAAAAUAUUAUAAUUUUAAGCCCAAAAUCAGCUACUAUCUAUUUGAAUAAAUAUAAUGGUUAAACAUGAAA